UCCGGUUUGUCACCGGCAGUCUCCCUGGAGUGCUCUUGCGUAGCAACUAGGGACAAGGGUUGCGCUCGUUGCGGGACUUAACCCAACAUCUCACGACACGAGCUGACGACAGCCAUGCAGCACCUGUGUUAUGGCUCCCUUUCGGGCACCCCCACCUUUCAGCAGGGUUCCAUACAUGUCAAGGGUAGGUAAGGUUUUUCGCGUUGCAUCGAAUUAAUCCACAUCAUCCACCGCUUGUGCGGGUCCCCGUCAAUUCCUUUGAGUUUUAAUCUUGCGACCGUACUCCCCAGGCGGUCAACUUCACGCGUUAGCUUCGUUACUGAGUACUAAUGCACCCAACAACCAGUUGACAUCGUUUAGGGCGUGGACUAC
RNAcentral lists this unclassified non-coding RNA (372 nucleotides) under uncultured Gammaproteobacteria bacterium. RNAcentral describes it as "contains 16S-23S intergenic spacer region". Lineage: Bacteria; Pseudomonadati; Pseudomonadota; Gammaproteobacteria. The record is from RNAcentral.